AUCGACAAGUUGUUUUUUUUUUAAAUUAAAUUCUCAAAAUUUUUAUUUUAGAAAAGUUUUCAAUUUUAUAGAAAAAUAUUGUUGAUUUGGGGUUUUUAUUUUGAAAUUGCGAUAACAAGCAUUGUUGUUGAUAGAUGAGUAUUCUUUUAGAUUUUUUUGAUCAAUAUGUUGUAUUUUUAAAUUAAAAUUCAGAAAAAUUCUGUUUUAGGAAAGUUUUCAUUUUUACAUAAAAAUAUUGUUGAUUUGGGGUUGUGAUUUUUAAAUUAGGAUAACAAUAUUUUAAGUUGAUAGACAGGCAUUUCUUAAGAUUUUUUUUAUCAACAAGUUGUAUUUGUAAAAUAAAAUUAUCAUAAAUUCUAUUUUAGGAAAUUUUUCAUUUUUAUAGAAAAAUAUUGUUGGUUUGGGGUCGUGAUUUUUAAAUUAGGAUAACAAGAUUUUUAAAUUAGGAUAACAAGAUUAUUUAAAAUUCUAUUUUAGGAAAAUUUCAUUUUUACAGAAAAGUAUUAAAGAUUUGGUAGUUGUGAUUUAGAAAUUAGGAUA
RNAcentral lists this long non-coding RNA (540 nucleotides) under Brassica napus (rape). Its description in RNAcentral is "long non-coding RNA (BNAP_LNC008389)". The record is from RNAcentral. Lineage: Eukaryota; Viridiplantae; Streptophyta; Magnoliopsida; Brassicales; Brassicaceae.